UACGUAGGGCGCAAGCGUUGUCCGGAAUUAUUGGGCGUAAAGAGCUCGUAGGCGGCUUGUCGCGUCGUCCGUGAAAACCUGCGGCUCAACUGCAGGCUGGCGGUCGAUACGGGCAGGCUGGAGUUCGGUAGGGGAGACUGGAAUUCCUGGUGUAGCGGUGAAAUGCGCAGAUAUCAGGAGGAACACCGGUGGCGAAGGCGGGUCUCUGGGCCGAUACUGACGCUGAGGAGCGAAAGCGUGGGGAGCGAACAGG
This 253-nucleotide ribosomal RNA is filed under the name uncultured bacterium. RNAcentral describes it as "partial 16S ribosomal RNA". It matches the Rfam family "Bacterial small subunit ribosomal RNA", at positions 524 to 776 of the family's 1533-position model. The record is from RNAcentral.